GACGGACGCUGGCGGCGUGCUUAACACAUGCAAGUCGUGCGAUGAAGCUUCUUCGGAAGUGGAUUAGCGGCGGACGGGUGAGUAACACGUGGGUAACCUGCCUCAUAGAGGGGAAUAGCCUUCCGAAAGGAAGAUUAAUACCGCAUAAGAUUGUAAUAUCGCAUGAUAUAGCAAUUAAAGGAGUAAUCCGCUAUGAGAUGGACCCGCGUCGCAUUAGCUAGUUGGUGAGGUAACGGCUCACCAAGGCGACGAUGCGUAGCCGACCUGGGAGGGUGAUCGGCCACAUUGGGACUGAGACACGGCCCAGACUCCUACGGGAAGCAGCAGUGGGGAAUAUUGCACAAUGGGGGAAACCCUGAUGCAGCAACGCCGCGUGAGUGAUGACGGUCUUCGGAUUGUAAAGCUCUGUCUUUAGGGACGAUAAUGACGGUACCUAAGGAGGAAGCCACGGCUAACUACGUGCCAGCCGCCGCCGUAA
RNAcentral lists this ribosomal RNA (478 nucleotides) under uncultured bacterium. Its description in RNAcentral is "partial 16S ribosomal RNA". It matches the Rfam family "Bacterial small subunit ribosomal RNA", at positions 28 to 523 of the family's 1533-position model. The record is from RNAcentral.